AUAACGUGGUGCACUUUCACUGUGCGCCCUUUUGAUUGUCCUUUGCAGAUUUCAAACAGGAAGUUGCAGAAUUUGUGGCGGUAAUUGACAUCAUAUGUGUUGUGUGCACAUAACUGCAUCAUCGGCGUAUUUUGAAUCUGUCUUGUCAGCAAUGGAAGUUAAGCGAUUUGAGUAAUUUUUACAUCUUUCAGGAGUUAAUCAGUUGUAUGCCAGCUAUACAAUGGAUGACAAGACAUCUCAUUUUCAGCAUAUGGCUGGCACUGAUAGUGUUCAAGAACCACGUAUAUGGUCGUCUCCUGAAGGAGGGCGUCCAAUCGAAAUGGGAAAACAGAUCUUCUGCAACAGAUCACUGAAUAUGAGAAAUAUUUUAGCUGUAGGCUUUGAU
This 385-nucleotide unclassified non-coding RNA is filed under the name Hevea brasiliensis (rubber tree). Lineage: Eukaryota; Viridiplantae; Streptophyta; Magnoliopsida; Malpighiales; Euphorbiaceae. The record is from RNAcentral.